GACGAACGCUGGCGGCGUGCUUAACACAUGCAAGUCGAACGGACUACUUUGCUUCGGUAAGGUGGUUAGUGGCGAACGGGUGAGUAACGCGUAGACAACCUACCUCUUAGAUGGGGACAACAUCGCGAAAGCGGUGCUAAUACCGAAUGAAGUGACUUUCAUGAAUGGGAGAGAUACUAAAGGUGGCCUCUAUUUAUAAGCUACCACUGAUAGAUGGGGCUGCGUCUGAUUAGCUAGUUGGCGGGGUAAUGGCACACCAAGGCGACGAUCAGUAGCCGGUCUGAGAGGAUGAACGGCCACAUUGGGACUGAGACACGGCCCAAACUCCUACGGGAGGCAGCAGUGGGGAAUCUUCCGCAAUGGACGAAAGUCUGACGGAGCAACGCCGCGUGAGUGAAGAAGGUUUUCGGAUCGUAAAGCUCUGUUGUUUGAGACGAAUGUGCCUGUUUCAAAUAGGGAUAGGUAAUGACGGUAUUAAACGAGAAAGCCACGGCUAACUACGUGCCAGCCGCCGCGGUAA
RNAcentral lists this ribosomal RNA (520 nucleotides) under uncultured bacterium. Its description in RNAcentral is "partial 16S ribosomal RNA". It matches the Rfam family "Bacterial small subunit ribosomal RNA", at positions 28 to 523 of the family's 1533-position model. The record is from RNAcentral.